GAUUGAACGCUGGCGGCAGGCCUAAACAUGCAUCGUGCGGUAACAGAAAUCAGCUUGCUGAUUUGCUGACGAGCGGCGGACGGGUGAGUAAUGUGUGGGAAACCGCCUGAUGGAGGGGGAUAACUACUGGAACACGGUAGCUAAUACCGCAUAAUGUCGCAAGACCAAAGAGGGGGACCUUCGGGCCUCUUGCCAUCGGAUGUGCCCAGAUGGGAUUAGCUUGUAGGUGAGGUAACGGCUCACCUAGGCGACGAUCCCUAGCUGGUCUGAGAGGAUGACCAGCCACACUGGAACUGAGACACGGUCCAGACUCCUACGGGAGGCAGCAGUGGGGAAUAUUGCACAAUGGGCGCAAGCCUGAUGCAGCCAUGCCGCGUGUAUGAAGAAGGCCUUCGGGUUGUAAAGUACUUUCAGCGGGGAGGAAGGUGUUGUGGUUAAUAACCACAGCAAUGACGUACCGCAGAA
Molecule: ribosomal RNA, 465 nt
Filed under: Enterobacter sp.
Lineage: Bacteria; Pseudomonadati; Pseudomonadota; Gammaproteobacteria; Enterobacterales; Enterobacteriaceae
Description: bacterial SSU rRNA
Rfam family: Bacterial small subunit ribosomal RNA
Source: RNAcentral